Non-coding RNA from Aplosporella prunicola CBS 121167, 97 nucleotides. The record is from the annotation of a RefSeq genome assembly. NCBI's taxonomy places the organism in Eukaryota, Fungi, Ascomycota, Dothideomycetes, Botryosphaeriales, Aplosporellaceae.
GGUCUUGUGGUCUAGUGGUAUGAUUCUCGCUUAGGGUCCACCCUGAGUUUACACAAUAGCUUGCGAGAGGCCCCGCGUUCGAGUCGCGGCAAGACCC